This 440-nucleotide ribosomal RNA is filed under the name uncultured bacterium. Its description in RNAcentral is "partial 16S ribosomal RNA". It matches the Rfam family "Bacterial small subunit ribosomal RNA", at positions 338 to 795 of the family's 1533-position model. The record is from RNAcentral.
CCUACGGGAGGCUGCAGUGGGGAAUAUUGGACAAUGGGGGAAACCCUGAUCCAGCGACGCCGCGUGAGUGAAGAAGUAUUUCGGUACGUAAAGCUCUAUCAGCAGGAAAGAAAAUGACGGUACCUGACUAAGAAGCCCCGGCUAACUACGUGCCAGCAGCCGCGGUAAUACGUAGGGGGCAAGCGUUAUCCGGAUUUACUGGGGGUAAAGGGAGCGUAGACGGCAGCGCAAGUCUGGAGUGAAAUGCCGGGGCGCAACCCCGGAACUGCUCUGGAAACUGUGAAGCUGGAGUGCAGGAGAGGUAAGCGGAAUUCCUGGUGUAGCGGUGAAAUGCGUAGAUAUCAGGAGGAACACCGGCGGCGAAGGCGGCUUACUGGACUGUAACUGACGUUGAGGCUCGAAGGCGUGGGGAGCAAACAGGAUUAGAUACCCCGGUAGUC